UGUUUAGUGUAAGUAUGUCCCAGACAACAUUUAGGACAUACUUAUACUAAAA
Molecule: microRNA precursor, 52 nt
Filed under: Muntiacus reevesi (Reeves' muntjac)
Lineage: Eukaryota; Metazoa; Chordata; Mammalia; Artiodactyla; Cervidae
Also listed under: 1 other name
Description: mir-1302 microRNA precursor family
Rfam family: mir-1302 microRNA precursor family
Source: Rfam by way of RNAcentral